CUACGGGUGGCAGCAGUGAGGAAUAUUGCACAAUGGGGGGAACCCUGAUGCAGCAACGCCGCGUGGAGGAUGACGCAUUUCGGUGUGUAAACUCCUUUUAUAUGUCAAGAAAAUGACGGUAGCAUAUGAAUAAGCACCGGCUAACUCCGUGCCAGCAGCCGCGGUAAUACGGAGGGUGCAAGCGUUACUCGGAAUCACUGGGCGUAAAGGACGCGUAGGCGGGCUUGUAAGUCAGGUGUGAAAUCCUACAGCUUAACUGUAGAACUGCACUUGAAACUACGAGCCUAGAGUAUGGGAGGGGCAGACGGAAUUAGUGGUGUAGGGGUAAAAUCCGUAGAUAUCACUAGGAAUACCUAAAGCGAGGGCGAUCUCCUGGAACAUUACUGACGCUAAGGCGUGAAAGCGUGGGGAGCAAACAGGAUUAGAUACCCUUGUAGUC
This 439-nucleotide ribosomal RNA is filed under the name uncultured bacterium. RNAcentral describes it as "partial 16S ribosomal RNA". It matches the Rfam family "Bacterial small subunit ribosomal RNA", at positions 339 to 795 of the family's 1533-position model. The record is from RNAcentral.